GUGCUCGCUUCGGCAGCACAUAUACUAAAAUUGGAACGAUACAGAGAAGAUUAGCAUGGCCUCUGCGCAAGGAGGACUAACUUGGUAAAUGUUCUAUGUAUAU
Molecule: small nuclear RNA, 103 nt
Organism: Neogale vison (American mink)
Lineage: Eukaryota; Metazoa; Chordata; Mammalia; Carnivora; Mustelidae
Source: Ensembl